CCUACGGGUGGCUGCAGUGAGGAAUAUUGGUCAAUGGACGGAAGUCUGAACCAGCCAUGCCGCGUGCAGGAAGACGGCCCUAUGAGUUGUAAACAGCUUUUGUACAAGGGUAAACCUGAAUACGUGUAUUCAGCUGAAAGUACUGUACGAAUAAGGAUCGGCUAACUCCGUGCCAGCAGCCGCGGUAAUACGGAGGAUACAAGCGUUAUCCGGAUUUAUUGGGUUUAAAGGGUGCGUAGGCGGAUUGAUAAGUUAGAGGUGAAAUGUCCGGGCUUAACCCGGGAACUGCCUCUAAUACUGGUAGUCUAGAGAGUAGAUGCGGUAGGCAGAAUGUAUGGUGUAGCGGUGAAAUGCUUAGAGAUCAGACAGAACACCGAUUGCGAAGGCAGCUUACCAGACUAUGACUGACGUUGAGGCACGAAAGCGUGGGGAGCAAACAGGAUUAGAUACCCGAGUAGUC
This 460-nucleotide ribosomal RNA is filed under the name uncultured bacterium. RNAcentral's name for it is "partial 16S ribosomal RNA". It matches the Rfam family "Bacterial small subunit ribosomal RNA", at positions 338 to 795 of the family's 1533-position model. The record is from RNAcentral.